Molecule: ribosomal RNA, 732 nt
Filed under: Triticum aestivum (bread wheat)
Lineage: Eukaryota; Viridiplantae; Streptophyta; Magnoliopsida; Poales; Poaceae
Description: partial small subunit ribosomal RNA
Source: RNAcentral
AUGAAUUGCCUAAGUUGGAACUGCCGGGGAGGGAACACCCGGACAGUUCGUGAGUUAGCAACGCUUUGCAAGUCGCGUUCCCCCAUGCUUGUUUUUCUAUGUGAAACUAGACAGAAGGAGGAGAAGACGAAGAGGAUCCGAGCCAAAUUAGGUCUUAAGGGUUUUUGUGCUGUGGACAACAAUGGUAUGAGUGGAGGUUUGGCGUUAUACUGGAGGGAAGAUUGUGUGGCAGAUAUUUUGGAACAAGACGAUAGAUUUAUUGAUGCAAUUAUUAGAGUUCGAGAAGGAGCUGCCCAAUGGAGAGCCACUUUUGUGUACGGCGAGCCGAGGGUGGAGAACAGACACCUAAUGUGGACUAAGAUUCAGAAUCUGAAAUCUGUCAAUAACUUGCCAUGGCUGGUGAUAGGUGAUUUUAACGAGGCUAUGUGGGAUUUUGAGCACCUCUCGAUCACGCCUCGGGCAGAGCCGCGGAUGUUAGCAUUUCGGGACACGUUGGAGAUGUGUGAACUAGUGGAUCUUGGUUUCAUCGGCCUACCUUUCACAUACGAUAACAGACGGAGUAGGUCGGCAAAUGUUAAGGUGAGACUUGAUCGGGCAGUGGCUACGAAUGAAUGGCGCAACUUGUUUGUGUUUGCUGCAGUUGAACAUAUACCCUCUCGAUGCUCCGAUCAUGUGGUGGUUUUCCUGAGAGCCGGAUCCGGGUCCCACUGGGGGGAGGAGCGGGAGGUAUGA